This 253-nucleotide ribosomal RNA is filed under the name uncultured prokaryote. RNAcentral describes it as "partial 16S ribosomal RNA". It matches the Rfam family "Bacterial small subunit ribosomal RNA", at positions 547 to 777 of the family's 1533-position model. The record is from RNAcentral.
CCCUCUUUCUCCCGCUUUUUUCGGAUUCAUUGGGCGUAAAGGGUGCGUAGGCGGCGCGGUAAGUCGGGUGUGAAAUCUUGGAGCUUAACUCCGAAACUGCAUUCGAUACUGCCGUGCUUGAGGACUGGAAAGGAGACUGGAAUUUACGGUGUAGCGGUGAAAUGCGUAGAUAUCGUAAGGAAGACCAGUGGCGAAGGCGGGUCUCUGGACAGUUCCUGACGCUGAGGCACGAAGGUCAGGGGAGCAAACGGGA